Pipra filicauda (Wire-tailed manakin) is the source of this 293-nucleotide long non-coding RNA. RefSeq lists it as uncharacterized. The transcript has 4 exons. Lineage: Eukaryota; Metazoa; Chordata; Aves; Passeriformes; Pipridae. The record is from RefSeq and is a predicted model, not a curated record.
AGAGCUCGUUAUCCCUCCGAUGCCUUCAGAAGCUGUUGGCUGCUGUUAGUGCUGCUGAAUAACAAUCAGGCGAAAGACUUAGAGAACGUAUGAGAUGCUGGGUCAGCAAGAGGAAAAAGAAUGAUGAAACUCGUGCAGAAUUCUUAUGCCAGUUUGACAGAAUUUUAUAAGGGAACUGAAUUUGUCUAUGGUUUGGAAAGGUCCCAGAAAAUAAUGAGAGUGGGAACCCUCAAGUGCUACUGCAAUGCAAGAAAUUAUUGAUUAGGCUAAAAUCAGAUUACUGGUUUACUCCU